UUGAUCUACCUGUUUUUGCUCCCAAAUCAGCUCAGAAGGUCCAGUUAGAAUGUCUUAGAGAAUAUUUGAGGAUGUCUGGAUCGCAAUACGUAUGAUGAGCUGGAUCAUAUGGUUAUUUAUGGCUUCAACAAAAUUCAAAUAAUGCCACCGGUAAAGCUCUAUGGUCGUGCUAAUUGCUCUGAAACAUCAAUUUUUAAAUCUUUAAAUCUGCUAUUGUUUUCUUUUACAGUUGGAACUCUUUCCUCGACCGACGUGACCACGGCUUUCUUUACCGUUGGAUUUUGAGAAAAUGGUACCAACACAUGGACCCAUCACCGUGAUCCACGUUUUGAGGUGCUCAAAGUUCUAAAGAUAUUUUUUUUAUUUGUUUGAAAUAUUUUUUAAAUAAAUUAAUUUAAAAUUUAAAAAUAAUUUAAAAUGAUAUUUUUUAUUUUAAUUAAUUUUAAAAAUUUUAUUUCUUUUAAAUUUCAAAUUAUAAUUCUUAUUUUUUUUCAAUUUUUUUAAAUUUUUGAUUUUUUAAUGACACUUUUUGUUUUUUAAAUUUUUUAUUUUUUUGAAUAUUUUUGGAAAGAAUUUGAAAUGAUAUUUUUGAAUUAAAUUUAUAAUUUUAUUUUUUUAAAUUCAAAUUUAUAAUUUUUAUUUCUUUCACAUUUCUUUCUCUUUUUUUUUCUAUGAUAUUUUUAAUUUUUAAAUUUUUAAGAUUUUUAUUUAGAUAUUUUUUUAAAAAAAAAUUAAUUUGAAAAAAAAUUAUCUAAAAUUAUCUUUUUUAUUUGAAUUNNNNNNNNNNNNNNNNNNNNNNNNNNNNNNNNNNNNNNNNNNNNNNNNNNNNNNNNNNNNNNNNNNNNNNNNNNNNNNNNNNNNNNNNNNNNNNNNNNNNNNNNNNNNNNNNNNNNNNNNNNNNNNNNNNNNNNNNNNNNNNNNNNNNNNNNNNNNNNNNNNNNNNNNNNNNNNNNNNNNNNNNNNNNNNNNNNNNNNNNNNNNNNNNNNNNNNNNNNNNNNNNNNNNNNNNNNNNNNNNNNNNNNNNNNNNNNNNNNNNNNNNNNNNNNNNNNNNNNNNNNNNNNNNNNNNNNNNNNNNNNNNNNNNNNNNNNNNNNNNNNNNNNNNNNNNNNNNNNNNNNNNNNNNNNNNNNNNNNNNNNNNNNNNNNNNNNNNNNNNNNNNNNNNNNNNNNNNNNNNNNNNNNNNNNNNNNNNNNNNNNNNNNNNNNNNNNNNNNNNNNUUUUUAAAAAUUCCAUUCAAAAUGUACGUUUUUAAAAAUACCAUUCAAAAUGAUAUUUUCUAUUUUUUUUUUGAACGACGCCUACGUGAAAAAUAUGGGUGAUGUGGCUCGAAGAAAACGUCAUUCAAAAUAAUUUUAUUUCUUUUAUAUUAAUUUUAUAAAUAAAUUAAAAUUUAUAUUAUUUAGAUAAAUAAUUUUUUAUAUAUAUUAUUUAGAAAAAAAAUCCUAACCAAAGACUUAUUUUUACUACCCUAGGUAGACCCACUAGGGCGCAUACUUUUAAAAUUAAACCCGUGGAGGAAGAUUCUACGGCUCAUAUGUCACGCUUGUCCUUUUAUCAUUAAAAAAAAAACACACUUACCCUUGUGACCUUGUGGCAAUAAUGGGAUAUGAAAGGAAGGAAUUCUUGACAGCCUGAAAAAGAGAAAUUAUUGGUUAGAGUUAUUCCAUUUAUUUUAUAUUAUUCAAUAAAAAAUCAAAAAAAAAUGUCGGCUAGCUCAUCAUCAUUAAUAAUGUAUCUUUUUCAUUCAAAAUUUUCAAAUAAAUUUAAAUAAUAAUAUAUUUUUUUCAAUAACAGCCAAUAAUUUUUCCUUGGAAGUGAAUUUUGACGUGUCCCCUUCAGCGUCCGUUUGGCAUCUCUUCAAGCUCGUGCACGCACUGUGGCGACCACCUUGUUGUUUACCGCCAUGGGAGAAUCCUAGGGAGUCGUGUGCCUGCCCUCCAUGUGUUUACCGCUUUUUCCUCUCUUUUUCCCACUCGGAUCCGAUGCCAUUUGUUUUCCUUCUAUGGACGGUUCUGAUCCGGUUGGAAUCACGGAACGCUGCUUGGGCGCGUGCAUCUAAUGGCUGCUGGGGUUUGGAUCCGGCGUCCCUAUCUCGCAUCAUAAUUCUUUUGGCAGUUACUAGAAUGCGUCCGUUUCUUUGUCAUGGCACCUCCGCGAGUGCCAACAAACUUGCUCGUUUAGGCCUCUUUUUGUGCCUGCAUUAUUUUCCCCCGUAAACACAUGGAAUCUAAUAUAAAUAUAUAUAUAUAUAUAAUUAUUUUUAAAAUAACUUUUAAUACUUAAAAAAUAAAAAAUGUUUUAAAAUAAUUUUUUGUUUUCCUCCCAUCCUCUCUAUUCGACCUUCCAAUAAAUUUUGCCCAACCUCUCCAUGCACGCUCAAACUCAACGUCGAGCAUGUCAUCACUGGUAAAUACGUUGGCCUCUCUCGUCUUGCCAACUGGUGACUAGCGACUGCCGAUUCGAUUGGUGACUACCACCUCCCUACUAGACCCAUCUUCUCCCCCGUGCCCUAUAUUAUUUCAAUUAUCACCAUAAAAAAUUACCUUGCGAUUUUCUAAAAUUCCACCAAAAUUUAGAUUCUGCAGUAAAAUUUUGCAGCUUAUCAUAAGCAUACUCAUAGAUCUUCCAACCGAUGGCAUUGUCAUGUCUAAUUGUUUGACUUGUCAUUGCUUGUUAUUGUUAUCUUUAUUUCCAUCUCUCCCUUUUUUUAUGGGAGGGGGGUUAAUUAUGCUUUUAAUUCUCGAAGUUUAGCAUAUUUGUUCAAUAAUUCAUAUAGUUUAAAAAUCUAAAAUUUGAUCUCUCUAAUCUAAUAUAGCCAUUCUCUUGGAUUUUGGCAACUUUCUUCCAUGUAAGAUUUUAGUUGAUGACAGCCGAUGCUUACACGAGAAAAUAAAUGUUUAUACGGCAAAAACCACCUAAACAAAUAUGAUGUGGUAUUAAUCGAGAUAAUAUAAUAUAGAUGAUGUGGCAUAUAAAUGGUGACAUAAUAUAAUGAAUGAAUUUUUUUUUGAUAAUAUAGCAUAGGAGAUGACGUGGCAUAUAGAGAAUAACAUGCAUGGUAUAUAUAUGAAUGAUGAUGGGCUAUGUGUUAUAGAAUUUUUUGCCCCAAAAAUAUCCAAUUGCGAAAUGCCAUGUAAUCAUCCAUAUACCAUAUCAUCACCUAUAUGGAUGAUGAUGUGGCAUACAUGUGAUGGUGUGGUAAAUGAUUGAUAGAGUGACGUAUGGAUGAUGAUGCAGUAUAUAUUAUAAUAUUUUUUAUUCAAAAAUAUCCUAUCGUCGAGUGAAGCUUAAGGACCAUAUAAAAAUAUUUAUAAAACUUAGAAAACCAAAAAUAUAAUUUAUGGUACAUAAAAGAUGAUCUGAUGCAUGGAUAAUGAUGUGGUAUUUGAACGAUAAUGUGGCACUUGGCGAUUAUACACUUUUGAGCAAAAAUUUCAUGAUACAUAUCGCAUCAUCAUUCAUAUGCCAUGUUAACAUCCAAAUUAUAUAUUAUCACCCAUAUGCUAUAUUAUCAUCCAUAUAAAUGAUGACAAGAUAUACGCAUGUAAGACUGCAAAUGGUCGGGUUAAUUCAUGAUCUGAUUCGAUCUGAUCGGUAUAGAUCUGAUCUGAACUAUUUUAAAAGAUCCGUGGAUCCAGAUCGAGUUCUAAAAUCAGAUCCAUUCUAUUUUUUGGAUCAUGUCUGAAUUUACUGAAUUUUGAUUCUACCCAAUCCAUGGAGACUUUUGAAUUAAUUUGGGUCCUGAGAUCAAUGAUUCGAUUCAAUCCGAUCCGACCCAACCCGAUCCGAUCUGAAUCUAUUCCUUAUCUCUCUUUGUUCUUAUAUUACAUGAAUGUUAAUUUUGAUUGAGCCUGUUUUAAUAUCUGUUGUUCUUGAAAAGGUAUGUUAUUGAUUUUUAGGUCUUUAUCUUUUAAAAUUUUAUUAAAAUAUUUUAAAUUUGGAUUAACCAAAUCAGGAGCAAUGGUGAGAAAAAUAUGAUUAGACUUUUUGGAUUCUUGGAUGAAGAGUGUUGGAUAUGGAGGCUCUAAUAGUCUUAUAUAUCAAGAUUAAAAUUUGUAGUGCAAAUAAGGUUUGUUUAUACUUAUUAAUCUUGUUAUUCAUAACUCACAUCCGAAUCGAUCCAGAUCCGGAUUCGAACCGGAUCCAUAUUUCAUAGAUUGGGGUUGGAUUUUAUAUGAAUCCAAUUGGACCCGCAUGACCCGUUGGGUCAAAAAAUUUGAUCAUAGACCCGACCGAUUUGACCCAAUCUCUUGUUGCGCUAAAUUUGAAUCUAAUAUUUAGAUCUGAUCAAAAAACCAGAUCGGAUCGGGUUCACUAAUGAUCCGAUCUAAUCAGACCCAUUUGCACCCUUAUACGUAUGAUGAUGUGGCACUUAGUGAUUGAUCACUUUUAGAUAAAAAAUUUCAUAGCUCCUAUGCCACAUCAUCAAAACAAAAAAUUUCAUCCGUUAUAUCAUGUCAUCUUGGUUAAUAACAUAUCAUCUCUAUUUAAAUAGUUUUUGCCACUUAAAUAUAUGUUUUCACCAUGUAAGUACCAAUUUUUUCUUUCUAGUGAGAGAAAUUGAUUGGAAUAUCUAAUGAAAGGACCGUAUCAGGUUCAGAAAUUAGAGGAAUCAAAUUUUUAAUUUUUAAAUAUUAAAAAUUAUUUAAAAAAUUCAUUAAAUUUUAUGAACUAAAAGUAUAAUUAAUUUUUUUAAAGAAUAAUGUCCUUGCCCAUCCUAUGCAUAUUUAUCACGUACAGAUAAUAAGUAUAUAUAAAAACCCAAAAUAUAGCAAGAGCCCAUGACUUAAUAUGUUCCCCUAUUUCAGAUUGAUACAAAAAAGAAUUCUUUAUGCACCAUGGGUGGUAUAGAAAAUCCGAUGUGGAGCGCACCACCUUAUCUCAUUGGUCCACAUAGUCAUCGCUUUUCAAUGCGUAUUUAAUACCUACAGUUUUAUUUUUUCAUUUGAAAUUUUAAAUGAUAAAAAUAUCUCUACUUUUUAAAAAAAAUUAUGAUAUCUUAUGUCUAUAUUAUGACAUUCUGAUGUGGAGCGCACCACCUUAUCUCAUUGGUCCACAUAGUCACCACUUUUCAAUGCGUAUUUAAUACCUACAGUUUUAUUUUUUAUUUAAAAUUUUAAAUGAUAAAAAUAUCUCUAUUUUUUGAAAAAAAUUAUGACAUCUUAUGUCUAUAUUAUGACAUUCUGCAUGUAGAAAGUCAUAAUUGGAUGCACAAGAUAUCAUAAAUUGGCACAGAAUAUCAUAAUUUUUUUCAAAGAACGAAGAUACUUUCAUUAUUUAAAAUUUUCAAAUGAAAAAAUAGAACUGCAGACAUUAAAUACACAUUGAAAAGUGGUUGGACAAAAAUACUCCUCCCAUUUUAUGAUAUUCUUGACUAUAUUAUAACAUCCUGCGUAUACCAAGUUAUAAUUUGAUGCAGGAUGUCAUAAUAUGCCAUGAUGUUAUAAUUUUUUAGACCAUAUUAUGACAUCCUGUGUGCGGAAAGUCAUAAUUUGAUGUAGGAUAUCAUAAAAUACCAUAAAAUAUCAUAAUUUUUUUCAAAGAGAAGGGAUAUUUUCGUCAUUCAAAAUUUCAAAUGAAAAAGUGAAAGUACAUGUAUUAAAUAUGCGUUAAAAAAUGGUGGCUACAUAGACCAAUCGAGAAAGACAGUGUACUCCAUGUCAGAUUUUCUACACCACUCACAGGCACAAAGAAUUUUUCAUUGAUACAAAUAUCUAUCUAAUAAACUUCUCAUCUCCAUCCAGAUCCACACCGGUCUCUCUCUUCACAAAACCACCAUAAAACUCCCUCUUUCUCUCUCUCUCUCCCCCUUUCUUUGUUUUGUCUGUCCCAUUGUCCUCGACUCUUCUAAAGAGAGUGAAGCAUAAGAGAGGAUGGCUCCCCUCAAAUACGUCGCUUUGGCUCUUUUUCCUCCACUCACAAUUUGACGUAGGAUAUCAUAAAAUACCACAGAAUAUCAUAAUUUUUUUUAAGAAAGAAAAGUAUUUUGGACAUUCAAAAUUUUAAAUAAAAAAUAAAAAUAUAUAUAUUAAAUAUAUAUUAAAAAAUAAUUAUUACGUGGGCCAACCGAGAAAAAUAGUGCACUCCAUAACAAAUUUUCUACGUCACCCGCGGGCACAAAGAAUUUCCCAUUGAUAUAAAUAUUCAUCCAAUAAACUCUUCAUCUCCAUCCCGAUCCACACCCGUCUCUCUCUUCACAAAACCACCAUAAAACUCCCUCUUUCUCUCUCUCUCCCUUUCUCCGUUUUGUCUGUCCCCUUGGCGUCGACUCUUCUGAAGAGAGCGAAGCAUUAGAGAGGAUGCCCCCCCCCAAAUACGUCGCUUUGGAUCUUCUUCUUUCUCUGCUGAGCUCGGUCGUCACGUCUUCCUCCUUUCGCGAUCCCGCUGGAUUCCUCGGGAGGGCCAAGGAAUCGGAAUUCUUGGACUGGAUGGUGGGCAUCAGGAGGAGGAUUCAUGAGAAUCCGGAGCUUGGGUACGAGGAAUUCAAGACCGGCUAGCUCAUCAGAGGGAGCUCGAUGCGAUGGGCAUCGCCUAUAAGCAUCCGAUCGCCGUCACGGGCGUUAAUUGCACGGUUUGUCGGCACGGGAAGCCUCCGAUUGUUGCUUUGAGGGCCGAUAUGGACGCCCUCGCGAUGCAGGUCAGCCGCGCUUUUCAAACUCUAAAAUCUCGCCACGUCGUUGGGUUUUUGACAUUUGGCAAGGGAUUUAUUGGAUUGGUGGUGGAGUUUCUUUUUUUGACGAAGAGCAUCCUUUCUGCGACAGUAAACAGCGAAAAUCUUCAUGAACACUUCCGGUUGCAGGGGAAAUGUUUGGGUCCAACAAUGUUAGAGAAGCAGCCGGUGAUGGGAGGCAAGGACUUCGCUGAAGCCGUUCCCAGGGAAUACCACUACUUCGUGGGGAUUAAGAACGAUUGACGUGGACCGCAACAUCCUGUGCACUCUCCAUACUUCACCAGAGGAAGCACUCGCAUGUGGUGCGCGCGGCCCUUCAUGCAUCUCCGACCAAUGCCAAUGUCCAUGAUGAAAUCCAGAUGUUCAUUUCCCUUCCUGGUGGCUUGAGUUGUAGAUAAAUUGGAUGGCUUCGUUUUUUUCCUUCUUGCUCAAUUAUUAUCUGUCUUGUAGCAAAUCAUCUAUGUCGUUUUGUUGAAGCAUUUCUUGUAAGAGAAUGUCCCAAGGCCACAAUAAAACUUGACCUUUUCUGUGAGAUAUCAACCACCACACAAACAAGCAGGUUUGGGAUUUUGUCUGGAUGCAGUCGGUGGUGGCAUUUUCCAAUGGUUAAUGGGGCUUGUAACUUUGUUUUAAGGGAGAUGAAUUUCUUAUUGCUCGUUUAAGGGGGNNNNNNNNNNNNNNNNNNNNUAUAUAUUGGUACAAUGUGAAGAGAGGUGCGAAUUGGCCAUGCGGACAAAAUCGAAGAAUGUUCCAUCAAAGAAGGGGGGAGGCUAAUUAUUGGGAUCUCUUCAAGAGAUCGACUUGCUUAGUGAGUACCUAAAUGUUCAAAACAAGGCUUGCUUAGUGAGUACCUAAAUGUUCAAAGCAAGGCUUUCUCAAUGUCUGAUGUUGAAAGGGAUCGGUUAAGUUGGACCUGACCAUAGAUUAUUUAAUUUUUUUUCUCCAUUUUUCUUCCUUAACACAUAUCUCAUCAUACAUUUAAUGCCUUUCCCUCCUUAACAACACAUGUUAGCAUGUUUUAUUUUUUAAUCACAUUUCCCUCAUUCUAAGUAAAUUACUUAUGAUCCACGUUGGACCAAAUCCAAUCAAUAAUUUCUCAUGGAAAGGGACCCAAAUGCUCAAUCGCUCAUUGUGUAGGCCAUCAAUCAACAUAGAUGAAGGGCCUAUGCGCGAGCAUCGUAUUUCCUAAUUUCCACCAAUCAGAAAGUAGAUGGUUGAAGAGGCGACAAUCAAAAAUCCUUUGACCUUCCACCUUCACAUAUAUAGAUAUAUGUAUGAUAUUAAAUAAUUUUAAUAUAUCUAAGUUUUUUUAUUUUUUUUGAUAUUGUGAUGAUUUUUUUAUAAUUAUUUUUCUAAUUUUUUGAAUUUUAGAAUAGUAUCGAGUUUUCUCUCUCCUUUUCAUUUAAUAAGUAUAGAGAUAGAAUGAUAUAGCAUCAGUCACAUUUCUUACAGUAAAAAUAAAAAGUCAGAUAAAAAUAUUUUGCAUGCAACUACAAUCAAUUCUCCAAACUACUAAAUAGUCUCUGAGUCACAUAUUAUCUCUUUUAUAGGACAACUAUUUUAUUCUAAUUAUUACUGUCUAAAUUUUAUCAAAAUUUAAAUUUUUUAGAAAUUAUCACUUUCGACGUAUUCAUAAAUCUNNNNNNNNNNNNNNNNNNNNAUUUUUUAGAAAUUAUCACUUUCGACGUAUUCAUAAAUCUUUUAAGUUGUUUGCACCGCUAUUGCUCAACAUCAUUUCUUUCUUUUUUUUUUUUUCUUUUUUUUUUUCUUUUUCAUCCUUUCUCUAGCAUAUUGUCCUUACUCUCAUGAUGCUUAUUUUUUCACGUGCAUAGCUCAAAGAAUGGUAAAAGCCCAUGAUUUUAAUAUGUUCCCUCUUUUUAAAGAAUUUUUCAGCAUUGGCGCAAAUAUCCAUCAAAUAAACUUCCCAUCUGCAUCCACAUCCACAUCCACAUCCACACCCAUCUCCCUCUCUCUCUCUCUUCUUUGCUUUAACUCUCCCUUUGGUGUCAACUCUUCAAAAGAGAGUGAAACAAUGGAAAGCAUGGCUUCCCCCAAAGGGGUCGCUUUGGCUCUCCUUUCUCUGCUGAGCUUAGUCCUCACAUCUUUCCUACCCUCGCGAUCCCGCUAGAUUCCUCAAGAGGGCCAAGAAAUCAGAUAAAAUUGAAGAAUGCUCCAUCAAAGAAAGGGGGAGGCUAAUUAUGGGCAUCUCUUCAGGAGACUUUUCUGGUGAGUACCUAACUAUUCCAAGCGAGGUCUUCUCAAGGUCCGGUGUAGAAAGGGAUCAAUUAUGGUUGGAUCUGAUCCACUGUGGACCAUCGAUUAUUUAACCAUUUUCUCUUUACUUUUAGUCCCUGACACAUAUCUUAUCAUACAUUUAAUACCUUUCCUCCCCUUGACAAUGCAUGUUAGCAUGUUUUUAAUCAUGUUUUCCUCAUUCUAAGUGCUAAAUUAUCCAUGAUCCACGUUGGACCAAGUCCAACCAAUAAUUUCUAGUAGAAAGGGACCCAAAUGCCUUAUCGCUUAUCGUAUAGGCCAUCAAUCAACAGAGACGAAGGGCUCAUGCGCCAGCCUAAUGCUUCCCAGUUCCCACCAAUCAGGAAGUCGGCAGUUGAAGAGAUGAAAAAGAAGAAUUCUUUGUCCUUCCGCCUUUAUUUAUACAGAUAUAUUUAUGAUAUUAAAUAAUUUGAAUAUAUCUAAAUUUUUUAUAUAUAUUUUUCAUGAUUUUUUUAUAAUUAUUUUUUUAAUUUUUUGAAUUUUAGAGAAUGGUUGAGUUUUCUCUCUCUUUUUUUUAUUUAACAAGUAUAGAGAUAGUGUGGUGUAGCAUCAGUCUUCUUUCUUCCAGUAAAAAUAAAAUACCAGAUAAAAGUAUUUUACAUGCAGCUAUAGUUAGUUCUCCAAACUACCAAAGAGCCCUCUAGUCACAUAUUAUGGCUUUUGUGGGCCAACAACUUUAUUUCAAUUGUUACCGUGGAAAAUUACUUUGUUAUCUAAAUUCCACCAAAAUUUGAAUUUUUCGGUGAACGUUCACAGCUCAUUACUUUCGGCGUAUUCAUGAAUCUUCCAAGCUACUUGCGUUGCCGUCGCUCGGCGUCGUUUUCUUCCUUUCUCUGGCGUGUUGUCCUCGCCGUCAGGAUGCUUAUUUUUUCACGUGCGUAGAACAAAGAAUGGUAAAAGCCCACGAUUUUAAUAUGUUCCCUCCUUUUAAAGAGAUUUCAAGCAUUGACGCAAAUAUCCAUGGAAUAAACUCCCCAUCUGCAUCUGCAUCCACAUCCACAGCCGUCUCUCUCUCUUCCUCUGCCUCUUCUUCGCUUUAACUCUUCCGAAGAGAGCGAGGCACUGGGAGAGGAUGGCUUCCCCCAAAGGGGUCGCUUUGGCUCUCCUUCUAUCUCUGCUGAGCUCGGUCCUCGCGUCUUCCUCCUCUCGCGAUCCCGCGGGAUUACUCGAGAGGGCCAAGGAAUCGGAGUUGUCGGACUGGAUGGUGGGCAUCAGGAGGAGGAUCCAUGAGAAUCCGGAGCUCGGGUACGAGGAAUUCAAGACCAGCGAGAUCAUCAGGAGGGAGCUCGACGACAUGGGCAUCGCCUAUAAGCAUCCGAUCGCCGUCACGGGCGUUGCAGGGUUUGUCGGCACGGGGAGGCCUCCGUUUGUUGCGUUGAGGGCCGACAUGGAUGCCCUCGCGAUGCAGGUCAGCCGCUUUUUAAGCUCUAAAAAAAGCUUGCAACAUUCCUGGGUUUUUUGACAUUUGGCAAGGGCUUUGUUGGGUUGGUGGUGGAUUUUCUGUGGAAAAUCGGAAAUUUUAGAUAGAGAGAGAGAGAAGACGUAAUUAAAAUUAAAAUGUUCCUUCUUAUUUUUUUUGUCCUGGAAACAUUUAAAAGUCAUUUCUUCGUGAAAUUUAUUGCAUCAUGCUUUUUUUUUUUUUUUAUGUAUAUGUAAUUCCAACUCUGUUUGCAAUGAAUAGGAGAGCGUGGAGUGGGAGCACAAAAGCAAAGUCCCUGGCAAGAUGCAUGCAUGUGGUCAUGAUGCCCACGUCGCGAUGCUGCUGGGUGCCGCUAAGCUCCUUCAGGAGUACCGUGAUGAGUUGCAGGUUCGACAUUCAUCAACGCUUUUCUAAUUUUCUGAAACGUUAUGGCCUUUAACUGUGGCGCGCGCGUAUAUAUAUAUAUAUCUGUGUGUGUAUGUAUGUAUUACAUGCGCACAUAAUUAUGCGGCUCAUUGGAUCCGAUUUUUAAGUCUUAUGCCCUUUAAGAUCUGUUCUUUUAUGGAUAAAUAUUAUAUAAAAAUUGAUUUUUUUUUAUUGAUCAAUUUUUGGAGAUUAAUUUUUUUGGAAUUCAGUUUUUGGGAUUUCCAUGACAAGAUAUGUUGUUACUGGAUUGUAUGAAUUGGAAAUUAGAUUUUCAGAACAUUGUAGUUAGGAAAGGUGACCCUUAUCAAUCAGAAUUAUGAAAGAAGUUGAAUAAAAAAUAAUUUGUCGAGUUCCUAGUCGUUUCUUGAUUUGGGCAAUCUUCCACUAGCAGAGAUGCUGUAGAAGGGUUUGCAGAGACCAUUGGUCUAUGCUCUGAACUUAUCUUAAAUCAUAAAUAGCUCCAGUUUAGCUUUACAAUAAAUAUCCACGGUUAAGUUCAGAACCUUUCUGUCAGGGUUCAGAAAGGAUAUAUCCAUGGUCUUGGGAAGUACUCUUUUGGUAUUUGGUAUCAACAAGGGUCACUUUCCAUCUAAGCAAGCAUUCUUUUGGUAUGAGAUAUCUACAAUUUUUGAAUUUCUCACUCACUUUCCGCAUACUCUGCUUUUGUUUCCUUUUACUACAGUAUAACUGCAGAGCUAUUUAUUGAAAAUGCACUUCUUUCCUAUAUGUUUGAUGAAGUAAAAGCGAUAAGAUGAUGUUCUCCAUGAGGGCAAUAGCCCUGCUCUGUACACUGGAUCCAAAAUUUUCGCUAGCAUGAGGAGCAAUUCUCAAAAAAAAAAAAAAUCUCUCAAAAUCUGAAGCUAGUAAUGAUUUUCAAGAUCACUCUGUUACCAUUGAGGACGAGGGUAAGUGCUGAGUGUCUGCAGUGAUUCAGUAGAAUUUACAAAAAGAAAUGGGGAAGAACAAGUCUCGGUCUUCACAUAGACCUUCGUGUUAUUGUUUUGGCAUGAGCUCACCAUGCACUGGAGGAUUUCUGCAGGCUAGAAUGUGUAGAACUGAAAGUAGUUUUUUUACCUUACAAAGAAAGGCUUGCACAAUUUUUGAGUCAAAUUACAGAUGCACGUAAAGGAAGAAUCAUGUUAAAUUACAUUUACCUUUAAUUUUGCAGUUAUCUUAAAAUACAUAACCUUGAAAAUACUGUGUUUCAAUUUUUUCUGUCUAUCUUUUAUGCUUAUGCUGCAAAAAUAGUCUUUUCAUGCUCUAGAGUGACAGUAUGAUCAAGAAUGCAUUUUUUUUUCUUCUUCAAUUUUUUUUAAAUUUCUGUUUGGUGCAAAGCCUCAGCAUUUUUCAUAUUGUAAACUGCUCAUGAUGGUUGUUAUUUGCAAUAGGGAACGGUCGUCCUUCUUUUCCAACCUGCUGAGGAAAGAGGUAGUGGGGCAAAAAAAAUGAUAGAAGCUGGAGCUGUGGAGAAUGUUGAUGCUAUUUUUGGGUUUCAUGUAACCCCUGAGUUUCCGGUUGGUGUAGUGGCAUCCAGGCCUGGGCCGAUUUUGGCUGGGAGUGGGUUCUUUGAGGCUGUAAUUAGCGGAAAGGGAGGUCAUGGUGCACUUCCUCAGGAAACAAUAGAUCCAAUUUUAGCUGCAUCAAAUGUGGUUGUAAGCUUGCAGCAUCUUGUUUCACGUGAAACUGAUCCCAUGGACUCACAGGUAUAUAUAUGUAUAUAUAUGAAUGGUUUUCAUGUAAAUCGUUUUGGAAAACAUCCACACUUUUGAAGCUUCCUUAUUGUUUCAUGUUUUCUUGUUUGAUUGAAAUUAGCAUGCCUCCUUCAUUCCCCAAAACAAUUUCUUUGACAUCUCAGUUCACAUGAUCAUGUCAAGCUAAAAGUUUCAUUACUGGUUCCUCUCUUGUUGUGACCACCGUGCAAGUAUUGGACUCAUGUUGCUUUUCAUCACAGGUAGUAACAGUGGCGAAAUUUCAAGGAGGCACUGCGUUUAAUGUCAUUCCAGAUUCUGUAACACUUGGUGGCACUUUCCGCUCCCUAUCAAACAGAGGCUUUUCUCAACUGAAGCAACGAAUUGAGGAGGUAUGAUAUCCUAGGAACUUUUUCCAAGCACAAGCUAACUCUCGAAAGAUCAUCUUUUGGACGAGCACUUAUUUGUAGAAGCUGAAAGAACCUAGUCCAUUAGGUCAACUAACACCAAGCUACUACAUGUUUUAGAGAGCCAUGACCAUCAAUGUGUCAGGCCCAGUUGGGAUCUCAAUAAGCUGCACUCAUUCUUUCUCAUCAAAGAAUGAGACCCAAUGUAACCUGCUGUGCCUAAAAAUUUCCAAGUUUGAACUGAGGUUAUGUCUUUGAGAUUCUCUCCAUAAUCAUAUCCAUAAGAAGUCUUGCAUGUAGCUCGAUGACUUUACCUUUUGCUGUACAUAAUUAGUUUUUGCCCUCUUGAUUUUGGUAACAACAGGUAAUUGUUGCACAAGCAUCCGUGCAGAGGUGCAACGCUACUACGGAUUUUAUGAACAAAGAACAUCCUUUCUUACCUGCGACAGUUAACAGCAAAGAUCUUCAUGAGCACUUCCAGAAGGUUGCAGGGGAAAUGCUUGGGUCCAACAAUGUCAUAGAGAAGCAGCCAGUGACGGGAGGUGACGACUUUGCUUUCUUCUCUGAAGCUGUUCCCAGGGCAUAUUACUACUUUCUGGGGAUGAAGAACGAUUCAGGAGGACCACAUCAUCCUGCGCACUCUCCAUACUUCACCAUCAACGAGGAAGCACUCUCAUAUGGUGCAGCCCUUCAUGCAUCUCUUGCUGUACGUUACCUUUCUGAAAACCGUAGCCCAUCUACGUCCAAUGCCAAUCUCCAUUAUGAACUCUAGAUGUUCAUUUCCGUUGCUGGUGCCUUGAGUUGCAGAUGAGGUAGCAGGCUUUCAUGCAGGUGGGUUAUGUUUUUGAUUUGACACCUGGAGCACUUAAAAACUCUGCAUACUUAGGUGAUGUCAAUAUUUAUAAUAGGCUGUGAUUUUGUUUUUUCGUGCUUAAAUUUUGCUAAAUGGUCAAUAUUUUGUGUAAUUAUUUUCGGUUCAUGUUAGAUGGAAAAAAACCCUUCACGUUGAGGUCCUGUUUGAAAAAUUCAGCACAUUGGAUUUGCUGGAUUUUCCAUUGAAUCAUGAAUUGCACAGUUUAUUUAAAUAAGGUCUGCAUCGACCUAGUCCAUCUCCACUAAAUCCCGUGGGAGGAAAAAGAGAAUCUCCGUAGAUUUCUUUUUUUUUUUUGGGGGGUUAAAUUCUACAGUCCAACAGAUCCACAUGUGGGAUUUAGGCAAAGAUUAGAUCAGGCCUUUAGACAAAAUUCAAUCCCAUGUUGUUGGAUUUUCCAAAUAGGCCCUAAAGCGUCUCUUGAGAAGUAUGUUGAUGUAAUGACUAAUGAGUGCGUGGUCCGGAGAUUUAUAUGGUGGUUUAAUUAAUAACCCAUGAUGUGAAACCAGAUAGACUGCAACGGUUUUAUUGGAUUCAAUUUGGAAGGAAGAACCAUUCUGAGAGUAGCCAGGAAGGUAAUUUGAGAACAGAAUAGCAGUAUUGCGCCCAUCACCCAUUCUGUAGAAUUUUAAAGGUCAUCUCGCCAUCUUCUGUACCACGGUGCAUCGCAGGAAUUAAGCUCUUCUUUUUCUUGGCCCAAUUCCUGGGCUAAAGCUAUCCCAACUCAAGAUACAUGUCAUCUCCUUUGGGAAAAGCUGGAGCAGGUAGCUCAUUAGUCAUUUCUAUGGAAAAAUAUUGUUUUGAGUUGUGGCUACUGCAAUCCAGUUAACUGGGAAUAAAAUUAUCGUAACUCUUGUUUGUGCCUGGAUCUUGUGCUUUGUUAGUAUGCAUGAUUGCCUGAUAUAUCUAUAGGCUGAAAAUCUUAUUGGAUUCAUUGGAUUGGGGCCAUACAACCAGAUGGAAAUAGGCUUACAAAUUGGGCUAGGCCAUAUCCAUAAGUACCUAGGACUGAUUUUUUUGGUAGGUCGUUCUGAAUCCCAUGGGAAGAAAAAAAAUCUAAGCAGGGCCUUUUCUUCUUCCUAUUGGAUUUGGGCUGGGCCACUCUACAGGCUUUUGUGUAUUUGUGAAAACAGGCCUAACCAAAGCUGAUUUUUUUUAAUUAUAUUGGCCUAAUCUUUGAAUUCCAUAAAAUUUUGAGCCCAAUCGUCCAAAUAGAUCCGAAGGGUUUGUUAGGCUAUUCUUAUAGGAUUGGACUAAAAUUCCUAUAAAAAUCAGGCUCAUUGACCCGUCUAACUUCCAUUUUAUAAGAAUUUAUCUAAACCCAACCUAAAUUCUAGCUAUUGGGCUCCAAGAAAAAGAAAAAGACCUAUGAAGAUCCGUUUCUUCUUCCUACAGAAUUUGAGCUGAAUGAUGUUUGCUUGAUAUAAGGCAAUGCUUAAAUUAACGGCUCAAUCCAUGCAUCCUACAGAAUUUUCAGUCUAAUCCAAUAGAAAUGGCCAAAGAGAUCCUAAUCUUAUUAAUCCAUCAGGCAAGGCAAUGACACAUGUCAGUGUGCAACAUCCUCAAUUGGCAACUUGGCGAAAUUGUGCAGUCAAGGGAACCUCCAGUUGUGCUUGGAAGAGUGCUGCUUCCUAGUUCUGUGUGAGGUUGUUUGCAGGCUUGCCUAAUAGCCUGAUUUAUAUGAUGUUCGGGGUUGUGCCGCAGGUAAUCUGAAUGGUUUGGUUAGCUGAAGGCCCAACAUACGUUUUGGACUUGUAUAGAUAGGUUUGAACAUGGACAUUUAUUUUAUUUUCUAUCUUUAUUGGCCUUUCCGUUUUAUCCUCCAAAAAAUGGUAUGGAGAACCAUGUCGUGGAUGACUUUGUUAAGCUAUAUGGACGAAGUAAUCUCAUGUCCACUGCCCAGGACCAUACUGUUCUAGUAUUCCUCAGGAGCUGUGAUAUAUAUUCUACUUCAUAUCAGUUAACUUCCAAUCCUGUCAUACCUUACAAAUCUAGUAGAAUCCGGUAGUUGCAGAGUCCUCUUUCCUUUUUUUUCAAGUUUUACAGGCUUGUUCUUUUUUUUUUCUUUUUUUUCUUUUUUUUCCUUCUUUUUAGAAGAAUAACAACAGUCUGGCCUUCUAGAGAGCAGUAGUUGCUACCUACUCAAUUUUUCUCUUUACGCGACUACCAUCUAGUUGCAACUUCUCUAGGCCACUCUACGAACCACCUCUUCUUAAAUACUCUCAGCAUCCGAAUGUAGCCACCAAUGGAAUCCUAUUCAUCUAGUCCUCUUCAAUGGCUGAGUUCCUCAGUCUCCGACUGCUGAGAUUGAUUCCUCCACGGCAUCGAGUGAAUGGCUCCUUAAUUUGAAAGCAGGAUUGCAACUUUCGGAUGGGAAUAUUAUAGCUCUCAUUUGCCCUCGAUGGAGCUGCUCUUGUCGACUGGUAAUCUAUUUUUUGGGCAGCAGGAAAGUAAGCGGUCGGGAAUCGGACAGCAAAUCUGAUGGAGCAUUUGUGCUAGCGGUUGGAGGGAUGCUUCAUGUCAAGGACUGGCACCUGCUCCCGAAGUCAUUCAAUAGUCCUGGAAAUUGGGAUUUAAGGAGGCAUGAGACUUCCAGAAUCAUAGCAAAAAUAACGUCUCUCUUGAUCAAAGAAGAUCGUAGAUGCUACUUAUUUCGAGAUAUUUUAGAUUUUUAAUAAUUUUAAAUUGAUUUGAUUUAAUUAAGAGAAAAUAUCAAAGGUGUUUGGUUUGGGGGGGGGGGAGGGGUUGUUAGAGUCUGAAAUUAAAAUGAAAAUAGGUGACUCCUACUGGGAUUGGAGGGAGGAGGGAAAGUUGAGGUCUGGAAUUGAAAUGGAAAUAAGUAACUCUCGUUCCAACCAUUUAGUUAGAGGGAAUUCAGCUUCGAUUCUGAUUUUAGUGAUGCCGAUUCCGAUCAUGAACUAAACACUUCGGAGGAUAUGGUCAUUCUGAUUCUCAUUUCAAUCUAUUUCGAUUUUAAUUUUGUUACAAAUAAAAUAUCUUCUAAAUAUUUAUAAUAUAAGAUAAUGAUCUCCGAAAGCCAAGAUAGGGUCUCUUCCAUCCAUGUCUCAUGAUCUUCGAUAUGUAAGACAUAUUUGGCCAAGUGAUUCUCCUUUCGCUUUAAAAUUCUUAAACCCACAUUCCAAGCAAAAUUUGAUGCAUGCUCGCACUGCCUCUAUUUCUGAGUCUUUUGGGCACGAACAAAACAUGAUUUCCUUUUUUCUGGGGUCAAGAGCUGAGAUUAUUUCACCUUUUCUAUUUCCAACAAUAAAUCCAAUGCAAUUAGUUUUUAGCUUUCCAAUAGCACCAACAUACAAAAGCUAAACUCCCAUAAGUCGCUUUAUAAUUUUUAAGUUAUUCAAGCUUUUGAAAAUUCUUUCCAAUAAGUGAAGAAAAUUGUUUGAUUUAAACUCUACAAUUCUCAAUGGAAGAGGAGAUAACAACAAAUAAAUGUAACACUGGUGCAGGCUGCUUCUUAGUUCUUGCAUAGGAUGCGUACCUCCUAAACUUUAAUUUUCUUUUUGACUAAUUCUUAAUUAAUUGGUAGGACCCCUUUAGCACAUCUCCGCAUGAAGAAUUUGAUUUUAGAUAGAGCAUCCAUUUUUCAUAUAAUUGGCCAUAAUCUAUCCUCCUUUUCAAUGCUGCUAGAAUCAUCGCAUUACCUUUCUUUCUUUCUUUUUUUUUUUUUCUAAGGAGUUUCACUCUUUUGGCAACAAUAUAUCCUGACUUCAUAUUGCAGUUCCCACUCGAUAAGUGAUGCUAAAUCAGCUUGUCAUGGUUUAAGCUCCCUCUGGGAUUAUCUCAGCUUCAUGUGGAAUAAAAAAAAUAAUUUCCAACAACUUCCUCUUUCCAUCUUUCCAAGCCUUCGUCAAUAAACUCUGCCAUCCUGUUCUGGCAGACUGAGACCAUUUCCUUAUGCCUCAAUGAGUUACAAAGUUUCCCUUUUCUAAGAAGAUCUUUGUAUCUUUGUAGUUCUAGAUUACUACAACAAUAAUACCAAAGGUUACUCAGCAAACAUUGACCUGGCGUUGAGAAUUGACAAAUAUGUAGAAACUCCUGUUUUUAUUUUUCAUAUAUGACCAGAUAAACUAAAAAAGCUGCCCCAUAAAGGAGAAAAAUUUCUCCUGCUCUUUCUUGUAAGAGAACAAAGAAAAAUUUUAAAUGUAGAGGGACACACAACCCUUCAUAUUCCACCUAAACGAGACCACAUGGGAGAUAAUGAAAGAAACAUAUCCAACUCUAGCCAGUAAAAGAGUGACAUAUGACCGAUGCGAAAGCAACUGAUAACCUAAACAAGUUCGUGGAUAUAGUUUAAAUAGAUGCCUAUUUCAAAUAAAAUGUGGUUGGGAAUGGAUGAAGAAGACAACCUCCUUCCUCAAGGGUGGGGGAACCCCUGCAAUGAGCGUGGCUUUGGCAUAUGAUUAAGUUGCAGUCGCUAACGAUUCAAAUCAACCUCAUCAGAUAUAUAGGUUGACCACAAAUUAACUAUGAUAUUUGUGAUUGAAUGUGAAUUAUUUAAAUGAAGAAAAUAUGUAAAAAUUUAUAUGGAUGAAAAUAUAUAUUAAGUAUAAAAAAUUUAAAUAAUAUCUUUCAAUUAAAAAAUUUUAAAUCAAAAGAUAAAAAUUAAGAUAAGAGCAUCCCAUAAAAUGUCGUGCCACAAUGGAUGUUUGAGGCUAAAGACCCAUGGAUGGAAACUCCUAGUAGCUUAUGUCAUGAUAUUAGGAUGACUUCAAGAUAUUUUAAAAUAAUUUAUUUAGCUAUUCAUACAUUCAUCGGAUGCUCAUACAAAUAAUGUAAACUAUAUCGUCAAAUAUUUCAGCACGAGAAUUUAGGACUAAUGCAGAUAUUAAAUAAAAUUUAGCACUGUUUGAUUCAGAACCCUUCUGCGGUGGUCGUCCUCCGUCAACCAAUCCUUAGCAUCCGCAGCAUUUAGAUCUUGCAUUUCAUUCCCUUGAUUCAGAACAAUCCACAUGCACUGAAUCCGAAACCCUAUUCAUUGCGACAAAAAAUAAUAAAUAUUAUUAUUUAUGGUUUACGAGAGAUGUCAUUUGAUUGAGACCCCCAAUCAUUUAAAAGGUAUCCUAUAAUUUACCACGGACGUCAUUAGCAUUAAUUAUCGAGUUCCACCCAAUUAUUAUAAAGAAGGAAUAUUCCUUCUCAGCUCAGCAGACGUGGCCACCUUCCAGACUCUUCUAUCUUCCACCGCGAGACCCCGGUCCAAACCAAGCAACGACUUAAAAAAAUUGCCACCGGGGGAUCCAGCCCUCCUUCUCAAUCGUCCGAUCAUCAUCAGACGGAAGCCGUUCCUCAGACUUAUCAGACCCACAAAUCGCCAAGAACCAUCCGAUCAGAACUGUUUGUAUCUGAUUUCUCGCAGUGACAUCAAAAAUAAUCCCAAAAAUCCACAAAAUAAUCAUAUAUAAAGAAGAGCAAUGAUAUAGCUAAUAAAACAGAUCAAACCAAGGACAGUACAUCAGUAUAUAAAGAGUCUCAUACAGAUCAGAUCUAUAGAUCAAACCACCAAAUCAAAGAACCCUAAGAGCAAUCAAGAUCUAGCAUCCAUGAGGAUGCCGCAGAAGGCAUCCAUAGAGGUAUGAUCCAAAACAAUGCUAUUAGAAAAGAAUCUACUAACAAACGCAUGGACGAGCAGUAUACAUAUAGGCGUAGAUACACAUCAGAAGCCGUCGGAUCUGGAGCCGGAAGGACGAGAUCUGAGGUCGGAGCCAUCGGAUCCAUCAGUAGCGGCGGGACCCGAGCAGGAACGCCACGGAGGAGAAGAGCAUGGCGGCGGCGAGAGGGGUUGAGAGGGCCGCAGCGCCAGAGGUGGGGCUCGGGGCGGGCGCUUCGGCGGCAGCGGCUCCGCCGGCGAGGGUCAUGACCGCGAGGACUGCCGCGAGGAGGACGGAGAGAACCUGGGUACUGACGGCUGCCAUUCUCUCUCUCUUCUACUGUUUAGGAUCACCGGAGCAGGAAAGAGAGAGAUUAGGGUUAGGGUUUUGGGGGAGGCUGAGGGGGGUGAGGGGGGUUUUAUAGUUGGAAGAGUGAGGGCACGGGUUUAGUUGGACGGGC
RNAcentral lists this long non-coding RNA (19824 nucleotides) under Elaeis guineensis (African oil palm). RNAcentral's name for it is "long non-coding RNA (EGUI_LNC000257)". Lineage: Eukaryota; Viridiplantae; Streptophyta; Magnoliopsida; Arecales; Arecaceae. The record is from RNAcentral.